UCAUUUUUAUUAUAAAAAAUAUAUUAAAUUUAGAAUUUAAAGAUUUUUAAAAUGAU
RNAcentral lists this transfer RNA (56 nucleotides) under Diploscapter coronatus. RNAcentral's name for it is "tRNA-Leu". Lineage: Eukaryota; Metazoa; Nematoda; Chromadorea; Rhabditida; Rhabditidae. The record is from RNAcentral.